AUAUUAAAAUAUAAAUUUUUUUUUAAAGUUAAUAUAAAUUAUGUUUAUGGGUUUUAAAUUUUGAUUGGGGUGAUCAAGGAAUAAAAAAGAUUAAUGUAUAUAUAUUAACUUCCUUAUAUAUAAAUAUUUAUAGAUAAAUAAACCGAGAGUUUUGCUUAAAAGUAAGUUA
RNAcentral lists this ribosomal RNA (169 nucleotides) under Eledone cirrhosa (curled octopus). Its description in RNAcentral is "partial 16S ribosomal RNA". Lineage: Eukaryota; Metazoa; Mollusca; Cephalopoda; Octopoda; Eledonidae. The record is from RNAcentral.